CUCGUAGGCGGCCAACUAAGUCGGACGUGAAAUCCCUCGGCUCAACCGAGGAACUGCGUCCGAUACUGGAUGGCUUGAGUUCGGGAGAGGGAUGCGGAAUUCCAGGUGUAGCGGUGAAAUGCGUAGAUAUCUGGAGGAACACCGUGGCGAAGGCGGCAUCCUGGACCGACACUGACGCUGAGUGAGCGAAAGCCAGGGAGCAAACG
This 206-nucleotide ribosomal RNA is filed under the name uncultured bacterium. RNAcentral's name for it is "partial 16S ribosomal RNA". It matches the Rfam family "Bacterial small subunit ribosomal RNA", at positions 568 to 774 of the family's 1533-position model. The record is from RNAcentral.